GUCUCAAACUCCUAGCCUCAAGCAAUCCUCCCACCUUGGCCUCCCAAAGUGCUGGGAUUACAAGUAUGAGCCCCUGCACUCAGCCAUGAAAACCUAUUGCCUUUUCUUUACUUUUGUUCUAAGACUUGCUAUGGCAAAAGUACUACAGGUAAUGGAAAGGAAUUCCAAUGUUCCAGCUUAUCAUGGGAGUAAUUGCAAACUCUAGGUAGAAUUUGUCUGUGGAAAGGAAGUUCUAGACCUGCUCGGCUAUUAAGUACCUGUGUAAACUUGGGCUAAUCACUUCUGGGUCUCAAUUGAAUUAAACCUAUCAUUUAAAGGGGUUGGACAUGAAAAUCCACUGCUCCAUUAUCUCAAACAGGAAAUUGACUUGGUUCCUCAUAUAAUUUACAAGAGCCACACACUUCAGUGCAACUUUUGUCUCCAAAACCCCACACAUGCAAAAGAUAAUCUAUCUCCCAGCAUACUGAGGAUUUUGGCACCUAUAUCAACUGCCUUAAAAUAAUGUUACUGACUGAAUAUGCAUACUGAAAGUUAUAUAAACACCAUUAAAACUGAGCAAAGGAGGCUUUCCCUCAUCGGUUGAACAGAUUCUUUCUGUUUGAUAGUUAUUUACAAGAUUUCUCCCUAUUGUCUCAUGCUUUGCACUUGGCUGCCUUAAGAUAAAAUUACAUGUCUGCUGAUGGGCACAUUGAGAAUCAAAAAGGAUCAGGAAUUGGAAAACUACUGUGUGCCAAGAGCUGACCUUUGUUCUGCAGCUGAACAAUGAGUGUGUGUGUGUGAGUGUGUGUGUGUGUGUGAGAGAAAUCCUGUAAACAAAAUUUCCUCCAGAGGGUAAAAAAUGCUUGCCAAGCAAACAUCUCAAGUUGAGAAUGACAUGACAACUCUUUUUUGAGAGCUAAGCACUGCCUGGGGCUUUUGCCUUCAGAGACCACAUCUGUUCUUGCAUGGUGGUGCACGUUGGCUUUGGAAUACCAAGGCUACAUAAUUUUAAAAUCAAGUGGUACUUGUGGUAUUUGGCCACUCAGAGCAAAGUAUAACACUCUUUUAAAGUGGUUUGGAUCCUAGGGGUGGGAAGAACGUCAUGUUCUGCUGUAAGAAAUCUCACCAAGGAGACAUGUAAACUCGAAGGAAUGUCAGCGACUUCUCAAGAUUGCCCUCUUCCACAGGUGCCAGAGACUUGGAGUCUUCCCUCUUUUUCAAAGGCUUCAGUGUAUGUACUUUGGGGCUGCUGGCUGCUUCCCUGAAGGAACAAUCAGAGUGUGUGAAUAAAUUCACACUCCAAAGAUAGUGGGUGUGAUCACAGAGGCGUUUCAGAAUAUAAGAAUGUAUUAGCUGAAGCAUUAGGUCAUGGUUGCUGGGGUUUGACCUGGAAAUGAAAGAGAACAAUCUCUCUGAACAUCCUAAAGCAAGUUUGCUCCUUAUACAGGCCAGAAUAUGGCAAGAAAAUAAUGAGCCUGUCAAGAUUACUUUACGUAAUUGGUCUCAUGACAUCAUGGCUGUACAUGAAGGCUCCCUGAUUGAAACUUGAAGAAAAAUAAGUAUAUUUACUCAGAGAGGACAUUAAAGUUGGAUUUUUCAAGUGCAAUGUAUUUAUAUUAAUAAAUACUGCUGCUAAUUUCAUGAGACUGACCAUUCCUUUAUUCCAGCGCUAAUUAAGUCUUUCAUCAUCGGGACGGCAGAAACAGAGCGAGUCUCGACAAAGCUAGUUGAUCCAUUUCGUUUUACAAAAGAUGUUAUGGCCCAUAUGAAAUUCAGCCCUAAAAAUGGCCUAGAAAGGAACAUGUGCAGCCCCAACAGAAAUCAAAUAGCAAAGCUGGGGAAGCAGCCUGAUUGACUUGGCCUUGGCCUUACCUCCUAGGGGUGCCUCCUACAGAGCCUGGGGCUGCUGGGGAAUCCAAGGGCCUCUGCAACAAGGCGGAUGCUCAGAUCCAGGGUGUCACACACAAAAAAAGAACAGAUGACAAGGGCUACUGGGAAAGGCCAGGGUUUAGUUAAUGGAUUCAUGGGUUGAAUAAUAAAAUUGUCUAUUUGGCAGUUGGCAAAGAGAGAAUAUUUAACUGAAAAGUUUCCUUCAGGGCUUCAGUGCUUGAGCAGCCAUUUUCAAGGCUGGUAGAAUAUGCAUGUCUGUACAUUGCAGGCUCAAGUACAAAGAUUUGAUAUUAAAUAUGGAGCACCAGAACUGAAGAAUCCCUUUUUGCAUGACCUUUUGUGGCGACUGGAAGAAGCGGGUAUACUCUGCAGAGGUGGAAGAUUGUAGCAGCUCCACAAAACCGCAUGAAAGCAGAUAUUCAGUCACUUGGCUGGAAUGCAGCUCCACACAGCUGGUCUGGCGCCGUGCCCCACAGCAUCUGAAGUCUAUCUGUACAUUGGUGUUUCCCUGCAACAGGGGCUUCUCUUUUCAACUACAAGUAUCCCUGAGAGGCUACCAUCAUGCACCCCUUGGUUUGAAUUCUUUCAUUCCCAUGCUUUCCUCCUAACCCCCACUGGUAGGAAGGUCCUUAGACAGAGCGUCUCUGAUGGGUUGAGGAGGUACAAUUCGCUGGGGGCAUUUGCAGCUUGGAGCAUUACCCAAGCAGAGGACCCAGACCUGGGACACAACACAAGGGAAGGAGACAUGGGCACCUCGGGUGACAUUCUUGCCUGGGGCAUAUAGUCUGCUGUCAGGCCUCCUGAGAGCACUCACUGAAGGCUGUGUUGGGUUGGAAUGGCAGUGCCUUGGUGCUCCUUGGUCUUGUUUCUGCAGAGACACCCAGUUUUCCAUUUGUGGUUUUGCCUGCAUCUUAUGGACGUGCUCUGCCUUUCUGACCUCUGGAUUACGGAGGCAGGCGCAGCAUGCACGUUAGGGAGGUAAUUUCCUAGCUGUGAUGAAAGGCCUCUGGCUCAGAGGAAAAGCAAGGCCUUUGAAAUUGGACAUCUACUCCACAGCCUCUGGGCCAUUAUUCGAUAAUGUGAACAAAUCAGAUUUUUUUUUUUAAUUUCUAAUUCGGUUUGCCAAGAGAACUCUUGCCCUGUACUGUGGGCCUUUAGGAAAACAAUGUAUAUCCCCAAGAGGCCACUACACUUCUCAGGAGCCACUUCUCUUUCCUUGCAGAAGCAGGGCCUGGGUCAUGCCCCACUGUUCAGCACAAGACGUGAGGAAGUUCCUGUGGAAAGAGCGUUGGAAUUCCUGAGCUCCAGCCGGGUCCAAUUUCAAUUCCAGAUGCAGGAGGCUGAGAUGCAGGCUCCUGCUCCCCACAUUCAUGCCCAUCAGCAAGCCAUGCCAUAUCCAGCAGACAGAUAGCUGUUCAGUGCACAGAAUACCCCUCCAGGCCAGCAGCAGCUGUCACCCCUCUUCAGUCAUCUGCUCUUCAGACACUUCUGUGGACAGAGCCCAGAUAACUUGAUUAAGGUAAGAUGAAAUGAGAAACAUUUGCUCCUUUAAAAUCGCUAACAUCUGUCCUGGCCAGCAGAGCCACGGCUCUUUGUAACUGAGGAAAGACAAUCCCUGAGAAGUCUGGGUGUGGGAACGAUGGCGCUCCCGGUGCACCCACCUCCCACCUGCCUGCCCCUGGGAGCCUGCAGGGAAGACAAGGCAUUGCUGUACAAGGACCUGGACUUGAGUCUUGACUCCACCAAGACUCUGUGUGCCCUUGAGGCAGGUGGUGACCUCUCUGGGCUUCAGUUUCCUCGCAGGUUUGCCGGGAGGAGGAGCUAGAGGAUGCGAGCAGGUGCAGAAGACAUGAGGCGGUGCUCCAUUUGCCCCUGCAAAGACCUCCUUCCUUCCUGUGAGCCCGGAAGGAAGAGAGUGAAACCACCGGCACAUGGCCACAGCCUGACCUUAUGGAGGUGGCCUCAGUGGCUGCGGAUGGGUCUGGCUUUAGUGUCUGGUCAAGUGAAUAAAUGACUUUCAAGAACUGUGCACAGGGAGGUGUUUGGCAGGUGGACCCAGGGCUGGCCCCAGAGAGAGACCACUGUGAUGCCGCUUCAUAGCUGAUGACAUGAGGCCGAGACGCAUCUGAAGAUAUGACAAUUACUCAUUGCCUGUCCAAGUCAGUGAGGACACAGGGAAGGAGCCAGGGAUGGCGGUUCUGGCAUUUCCCACGUCUACAAGAUGGCAUCACCUAACACGGCCGCAGCUUCCCCACUUCUGUGCAGGCUCCAGACUGGGUCCCUAUGGUGGAUUAAUGAUGGCCACAAUUCCUUGUCAUUCUCCCAUCAAGAGGUGGAGUUUCCUUCCCUCCCAUGGACCUGGGCUGGCCACAACAGCUUAACCAAAGGAAGGAGGAAGAAGUGACGCUGGGCCAGCUUCUGGCUAAGUGUUAAGAAGGCUUCUGCUUCCGCACUUUGAGGAGCCCUGAGCCUCCAUGUGAGAAGUCCCCAGCUCCCUUCACCAGAAAGGCAGCAUGGAGACACCUCAUAGAGAGGCCACAUAGGGAGCCAAGGCCUUGAGACGACGUGGAGAGGCAGCUGUUCUGGGCCCCUGGGAGAGCGUCCAGGGGACUCCAGCCCAGGCACCUUCUGCCUGCAACCUCCCAAGAGACCCCAAGUGAGACCAGCCAACAAUCGCCCAACUGAGCCUAGUCAACCUGAGGAACCAUGGCAGGGAAUAAGCGCUUGCUGUUCCAAGCUGUUAAGUUCGGGGUGGUUUAUUACGCAGCAGUGGAUCGGUAAGACCUCUCCAUUACUGUCUUUAGGUAACUUUCUGCUGCCUUCGUCUAAGAGCCGGGCCCCAGAAAUCGGAAAUGCUCCUGCAUCAGGGUCCCUGUAGGGCAUCUCCACAGCAUCCCUUGUGGUGCACGUGUCUUCAGGUCACCUCCGACUUUUAUGUGUCACACAAUAUUCAAGUGUAGAGGAUGCAGGAGGCACCAGAUGGACCUCGAAUUGUGAAAUCCCAGGAGCCCAUCUCCUGGUUCUUGUGGGCAGGCUUAAAACACAAACAAGCCCUCCUGAUUUGUUUUCAUCCUCUUCCCUCUCCUGGGACCGAUUCUGAUUCAGCCCCUCGGAAGUGCCGUCUGUUCUGGCCACUCAGUGCCCUUCAGGCCUGGCUUGUGCUCACGCUGUCGGCCUGGGGCCCACUCCCAGCAUCAGGGCAGCUUGGUUCUUGCAGCCUCUUGAGUGCGGACUCAGCCUCCUCAAAUCCCUGCAAGGCCUCCUGCUUCAGGGCAGCUCUGACGGGGUGGCCCGAGCCGCGUCCUCACCAGCACAUCCUGAUGAACCCAGCCAGCCUCCAGACUCCCCUAACCACUGGCACUCCCUGACAGGAGCCCCAGUCUUCCAGAUCAACAGGGAGAUACUAAAAACUCUCAUUCUGAACCAAGUAACUCUCUCUAAAAGAGAGCCAAGGCCCCUUCACUCACUUUGGCCCCUACUCUAAGCUUUGGCCUUGGAGGGACAAGUAUGGUUUAUAGAUAUUUUUAGGAACAAUUUCAAAUGUACACGAAAGCAGAGAGAGAUGCAGAUUAGACUCCCAUGGGCCGUCCCCAGGGCUCAUGGCCAUUCUCAUUUCCCAUCGCCUAGCCUCUGUCUCUGCACUCCAGGUUACUCUGAGGCAAAUCCUGGCUAUCACAUCAUUUCGUUGUAAAUAUUGAGGCACGCAGCUCUAGAAGCGAGGACUCCCCUCUUCAGCUACAGUACCAUCGUCCACACUUUCUGAGAAUCUCAUCUGGGCCGGGCCCUGCCCCAAAUGCCUCCCAGGUAAGGCCCACUGUGGAAUGUGCCAGAAAUGAGACCGUAGGGCUGGCUCUGAGGCAUCAGCUCCCCGGUUUGGGGGACUCCAUAGAACAUGGUAGGGUCAGAAGCCAGAGGAGAGUGAGAGAAUCACAGACACACACGCAGGACGAGAUUCCGAAAGCCGACUAGACUUGGAUGCAGCCAUGGUGCUGCCCUGUGCACCGACACCCCACUCGUCACCUUCCCCACCAGAGCUGCCUGGCCUGGUUUUAGUGUCCUUGGGUGGCCUCAGAGCUGCAGACUCCCUGAAGGUAAAAAUGGCUUAGUUGUUCACUGUCACCCUGAGAAUAGUGCAGAUUCCAGUGAACAGCCAGGCCCAGCAAGGGCCAUCUGCCCGUGGACCCCGCACCAGCGUCCCUGUGCUGCCCUCCUCGGCGCUACCCAGAAUGCCUCACUCAGAAGCAUGGCGGGACUCCUGGCUUUCCCAUACAUGUGAAACAGGGUCCAGAGCAGGGGAAAUAAAUACAAGAAAUUAAAGGCUGUUUUCAUUAAGUAAAAUUUUGAAAACAAGUUAGCUUGCAGAUUCCUAAAACACAGUAAUUAUGCCUUUAUGCUGUUUUGUGUCUCUCAUAGUUUCUAUACCAACAUUUCUAACCUUGACACUAUGGAAUUUCAAGCCAGACCCUUCUUUGUUGUGGGGGGCCAUUCUGAGCAUUGUAGAUCCCUAGUCUGUACCCCCGGAUGCUAGCAGCAGCCUUUCUUCUCCAAGCUGCGACAACCAAAAAUGUCUGCAGACGUUGCCAAAUGUGCCCUGGGAGGCAAAGCUACCCUUUGGUUGACAGCCGCUGAUCUAUACAACAAAGAUGGUCGCUACGGUUGGAGACAGAAAUAAGUCGACCUACUGUGAUAUGUUUCCCAUAGACUCUUUCUGAGAACUCAGGUCGUAGUUUUACAGGACUCAACCAAAGAUUUUUUAUCCAUUGUUUGGAUUUUUUUUCUCAUUCCAUUAUUUUUCCUUUUUUAUUGCGCCCCUAAAAGAGGCAAAACACCCUUCACAGUGUCCACAUUGCAGCAAAAGCUAUAAUAUCUGUGGGAUGAUUUACAUCUAGCUAAAAAUUUAGAAGUUUCUGGAGCAAUCAGUCCUCGCUUUCGCUGAUGAUUUCAGUAGAUUGCUUGGCCCUGCCCUGCUCUCAGGAAGUCCAGAUGUCUUCCUUGAGCUCGCAGAUACUGGUGCUGGGGGAAAGGUCCCAGGUUAAUGAUCACCAGGCCAAGGCAGGCUGGCUGAGUAGCUACAGAGAUGCUCACCAUGGGCCUCAGGGUUGAGGCUCCAGGAGCUCAGGUCUCAGGCCAAUGCCAUGUGGCCACAGUGCCUGCUGAGGGUGCAGCCCCGCGAAUCCCCAGAUACAGUGCAAGGGCUUCCUUAUAGAUGAAUUGUCACUUUAGUAAGCAGAGAGCAGGGCCAUGAGGUAAUGGACUGAGAACAGGCAGGGCUGGUGAAGAAAUAGAGCAAGGAAUGGGUAUCUGUAGCCCCUUGGAAGAAGCAGCAGAGAGCUCCAUGGGAGUGGGAGGCCGGAACGGAGCGGCUGAUCUGCCUCCCAAAACUGUGCCUUAGACCGAACCUCUCUCCAGCCCGAAAAUAGGCCAGGAGGGCUGGACUGCCUGUCCCUGCAGCCUCUUUAGGGUGGGGGUGGCAAGAAUGUUCCUCUGCAGCGACACAUCCAAGCCUCUCCCACGUUGUCAGCCACUCUGCUUUGAGGCUGAGCUCCAACCCCUCCCAGGAAGGAGGAAGAAAAGACUCAUGGCGGAGACCAAGUCCCAGCAGGCAUCUCCUUAGGACAGAAGAUGGAAAGUUAACCUUUUCUGCUUGCUGAGCAGGCAGAGAAAGGAAGGCUGUUGUGAAGAUUGGGACCCUGGGCACACUCCGUGCUUGGGGACACGACGUGCCCUUGACCACAGUGCACAGGGCAGAGGGUUGGAAAGCACUGACCGUUCUGCACAGGGGAGCCAUUCAGGGCCCUGGGUUCCCACAGGGCUGGCCAGUCAGCGCCUUGCGGGUGCCCAGCUGGGCUGGGAGUGUCCCCUCUCCCACGGUGGUAAACAAGGCUGGCCUCGGGAGGAGCUGCACAGACGGCCCGGUACACCCAGCAGGCCGAGCCCAGCUCAUUCCACUGAGCCGUGGGGGCCCUGGGGACUUAACCAGAAGCCCGUGUCUGCUAACAGAAGGCACUUUGUUUCCUGGAGUGGGCGGCACUUUCUUCUCCUCUCCCUUCACAG
Long non-coding RNA from Cercocebus atys (sooty mangabey), 7923 nucleotides. RefSeq lists it as uncharacterized. The record is from RefSeq and is a predicted model, not a curated record. NCBI's taxonomy places the organism in Eukaryota, Metazoa, Chordata, Mammalia, Primates, Cercopithecidae. The transcript has 3 exons.